GUGGAUUAGAUACCCUGGUAGUCCACGCCCUAAACGAUGUCUACUAGUUGUCGGGUCUUAAUUGACUUGGUAACGCAGCUAACGCGUGAAGUAGACCGCCUGGGGAGUACGGUCGCAAGAUUAAAACUCAAAGGAAUUGACGGGGACCCGCACAAGCGGUGGAUGAUGUGGAUUAAUUCGAUGCAACGCGAAAAACCUUACCUACCCUUGACAUGGAUGGAAUCCUUGAGAGAUUGAGGAGUGCCCGAAAGGGAACCAUUACACAGGUGCUGCACGGCCGUCGUCAACU
RNAcentral lists this ribosomal RNA (289 nucleotides) under uncultured bacterium. Its description in RNAcentral is "partial 16S ribosomal RNA". It matches the Rfam family "Bacterial small subunit ribosomal RNA", at positions 773 to 1060 of the family's 1533-position model. The record is from RNAcentral.